CGCUCGCUGCUAGAGGACACGCUGGCCGGCUUGUCCCGCCGGGCGGAUCAUGUGGGGCUGCGGCUGGCGCUCCGCGUCGGCGGCGACGGCC
RNAcentral lists this transfer RNA (91 nucleotides) under Posidoniimonas corsicana. RNAcentral describes it as "Planctomycetes bacterium KOR34 tRNA-Asp". The record is from RNAcentral. Lineage: Bacteria; Pseudomonadati; Planctomycetota; Planctomycetia; Pirellulales; Lacipirellulaceae.